RNAcentral lists this transfer RNA (75 nucleotides) under Microbacterium sp. 77mftsu3.1. RNAcentral's name for it is "tRNA_Lys_TTT". It matches the Rfam family "tRNA". From Rfam's summary of the family: Transfer RNA (tRNA) molecules are approximately 80 nucleotides in length. Their secondary structure includes four short double-helical elements and three loops (D, anti-codon, and T loops). Further hydrogen bonds mediate the characteristic L-shaped molecular structure. tRNAs have two regions of fundamental functional importance: the anti-codon, which is responsible for specific mRNA codon recognition, and the 3' end, to which the tRNAs corresponding amino acid is attached (by aminoacyl-tRNA synthetases). tRNAs cope with the degeneracy of the genetic code in two manners: having more than one tRNA (with a specific anti-codon) for a particular amino acid; and 'wobble' base-pairing, i.e. permitting non-standard base-pairing at the 3rd anti-codon position. Lineage: Bacteria; Bacillati; Actinomycetota; Actinomycetes; Micrococcales; Microbacteriaceae. The record is from RNAcentral.
GGGCCUCUAGCUCACCGGUAGAGCAGCGGGCUUUUACCCCGCGGGUACUGGGAUCAACACCCAGGGGGCCCACAA